This 1560-nucleotide ribosomal RNA is filed under the name Triticum aestivum (bread wheat). RNAcentral describes it as "partial small subunit ribosomal RNA". The record is from RNAcentral. Lineage: Eukaryota; Viridiplantae; Streptophyta; Magnoliopsida; Poales; Poaceae.
AUGCCGAUGUUGCCCAACUCCUUCACCACCUCCUCCUCAUGGCAAUCACACCAAGAUGCGUCCUCGAUUUGCACUAACCAAGAACUGGACUACGACCAUCCUUACUACUUCGGCAUUGAGGAGGUGGCCGUGGACGCCGACGAACUGGAGCUCGGCCUCCGGGCUCACAAGGCGACCAGGGUCGACUACCUCAGCUCGCCGUACCAGGCGUCUUGGCCACCGGCGCAGGCCGACCUCGAGUCGUCGCGCGUCAGGAAGACGAAGCAGUUCCGGGACGUUCUUGAGACCUGCAAGCAGAAGGUGGAAGCCAUGGAGGCCAUGGAACGGUCGUCAUCGCCGGUCGGCAGUGGCGGGUUCGAGGAACAAGGUGAGGCGGUGGUCGCCGUGGACGACGUCCGGGCCGGUGGUGGUGGCAGCGGAGCUGAUGGCAUGCGGCUCGUGCAGCUGCUGGUCGCCUGCGCCGAGGCCGUGGCGUGCCGCGACCGCGCGCAGGCGGCGGCGCUGCUGCGUGAGCUGCAGGUCGGCGCGCCCGUGCACGGCACGGCGUUCCAGCGCGUCGCGUCGUGCUUCGUGCAGGGCCUGGCGGACCGGCUAGCCCUGGCGCACCCGCCGGCCCUGGGCCCGGCGAGCAUGGCGUUCUGCGUCCCGCGGUCGUCGUGUCUCGACGGGGCGCGCGGCGAGGCGCUCGCCGUGGCGUACGAGCUGUGCCCGUACCUGCGCUUCGCGCACUUCGUGGCGAACACGUCCAUCCUGGAAGCCUUCGAGGGAGAGACCAACGUCCACGUGGUGGACCUCGGCAUGACGAUGGGCCUGAACCGCGGCCACCAGUGGCGCGCCCUGCUCGACAGCCUUGCCACACGGGCCUGCGGCAAGCCGGCGCGCGUUCGCGUCACCGGCGUCGGCGCCCGCGUGGACAUCAUGAGAGCCGUCGGGCGCGAGCUCGAGGCGUACGCGGAGGAGCUCGGGAUGACCCUCGAGUUCAUGGCCGUCGACCGCACCCUGGAGAGCCUCCACGUGGACGACCUCGGCGUCGAGGCCGACGAGGCCGUGGCCAUCAACAGCGUCCUGGAGCUGCACUGCGUGGUGAAGGAGAGCCGCGGUGCGCUCAACUCGGUGCUGCAGACCAUCCGCAAGCUCUCGCCGAAGGCGUUCGUGCUCGUGGAGCAGGACGCCGGCCACAACGGGCCCUUCUUCCUGGGGCGGUUCAUGGAGGCGCUCCACUACUACGCCGCGCUGUUCGACGCCCUCGACGCGGCGCUCCCGCGCUACGACGCCCGGCGCGCGCGCGUUGAGCAGUUCCACUUCGGCGCCGAGAUCCGCAACGUGGUCGGGUGCGAGGGCGCGGCGCGCGUGGAGCGCCACGAGCGCGCGGACCAGUGGCGGCGCCGCAUGAGCCGCGCGGGCUUCCAGGCCAUGCCCUUCAAGAUGGCGGCCAAGGCGCGGGAGUGGCUGGAGGAGAACGCCGGCGGCAGCGGAUACACCGUGGCCGAGGAGAAGGGAUGCCUCGUGCUUGGAUGGAAGGGCAAGCCAGUCAUCGCCGCCUCGUGCUGGAAAUGCUAG